RNAcentral lists this transfer RNA (76 nucleotides) under Synergistes sp. 3_1_syn1. RNAcentral describes it as "tRNA-Thr". It matches the Rfam family "tRNA". From Rfam's summary of the family: Transfer RNA (tRNA) molecules are approximately 80 nucleotides in length. Their secondary structure includes four short double-helical elements and three loops (D, anti-codon, and T loops). Further hydrogen bonds mediate the characteristic L-shaped molecular structure. tRNAs have two regions of fundamental functional importance: the anti-codon, which is responsible for specific mRNA codon recognition, and the 3' end, to which the tRNAs corresponding amino acid is attached (by aminoacyl-tRNA synthetases). tRNAs cope with the degeneracy of the genetic code in two manners: having more than one tRNA (with a specific anti-codon) for a particular amino acid; and 'wobble' base-pairing, i.e. permitting non-standard base-pairing at the 3rd anti-codon position. Lineage: Bacteria; Thermotogati; Synergistota; Synergistia; Synergistales; Synergistaceae. RNAcentral also lists the same sequence under 3 other names. The record is from RNAcentral.
GCCGGUGUAGCUCAGCUGGUAGAGCAGCUGACUUGUAAUCAGCAGGUCGGGGGUUCGAAUCCUCUCGCCGGCUCCA